This 834-nucleotide non-coding RNA is filed under the name Thalamita crenata. The record is from RNAcentral. Lineage: Eukaryota; Metazoa; Arthropoda; Malacostraca; Decapoda; Portunidae.
UUAAAGUUUGAUUUAUUCUUUAUUUCUUGCAUUUAGUAUUGAAGUUGUAUGAGAGUUAGGAUGAGUAGUUAAUAAUAAUUUAAGAUUUAUCAUGGAAUUAGUCAGUAAUUGUACUGUGAGUGAUAAUUCUCAGCAUAUAAUAUUAGACAAUUUAGUAAAUUAAGAUCUAGCAAUACAUUAAAACUUGAUUAAUAUUGUGCCAGCAGUCGCGGUUAUACUUUAAAGUUAAGCAAGAAAUGUUGGUUUACUGUUGGACGAUAAGUUUGAUUAAUAAAAGUCUGGGGGAAUAAAAGAGUGAAAUCGGAUUUUCUUUUUAUGGAACUAUGAUUAAUAAUUAAUUUAAGUUGAGGCAGUAAAAUAUUGGAGAUAAACUAGGAUUAGAUACCCUAUUAUACCAAAAAAUAAUUUAGCCAAACCAAAGUAAUAAUAGAUAUAUUCUAAAAAUUUGAAGAAUUUGGCGGUGAUUUAGUCUAGUCAGAGGAACCUGUUUUUGAAUCGAUAAACCACGAAUAAUCUUACUUAAGUUUGUAAAGUAUGUAUACCAUCAUUAUUAGGUAAUUUUUAUAGAAGUAAUUACUGGAUAAUUUAUUAAUAAUGUUAAAUAUAUUAGAUCAAGGUGCAGCUUAUACUUAAGUUAAAAUGGGUUACAAUAAAUUUUAUUUAUACGGAAUCAUAAUUUAAAUAUUAUUUGGAAGGAGGAUUUGAUUGUAAAGUUAGUUUAACAUGCUUACUAGAUAUAAGCUCUAAAUCAUGUACAUAUCGCCCGUCGCUUUCAUUUUUAAAUGAGAUAAGUCGUAACAUAGUAGGUUUACUGGAAAGUGAAUCUGGAUAGAA